UCGCGUGUUUUCAUUUUUGUUAAUUGUGGUUCGAUCGAGUCUUGUAUCAGUUAUGGUAGCACUAGUAAUGUGCAUUGUGGGGAAUCUAGAGCUGUCAUAUAAUCUGUGUAUGGCUUUAUUUAUAAAAUGAGAAAAGAGCACUCUGUAUCACGCUGUAGGAAUAUGCUUAUUCUGCUUCUCAUUUUGUGUGAACACAACAUAAAUAUUGACUACAUGAUAAUGUUGUUUCUCUGAUUGUAUUAGGAUACUUUUAGACUUGUGAUUUCCUGCUACUUGUUAAGUUGAAUUUUUCGGCUUGUAAAAAUUUCAUAUUGAUUUGCUCGAGUUUCGUUCCAAUUAUGGUAGCACUAGUGAACAAGGAAGAUUUGGCUUGUAGGGCAGAUAAAAAGCUGAAAUGUACUUAAACAAUGGGGCUGAAAUUUGACUCUUCGGCUUCUUUUAUUACGCCUUAGAGAUGAAUGCAGCUCCCUACAUCGAACUCAUCUUCCUCAGAUGCUGCUAGAAGUUUCCCAGAUCUAGCUGCAAACAAGGAAGUUGUGACAUCUGUUUUGUAUUAUCAAUUUAUUGAUGUGCUUUUUAAAUGUUAAAUAAAAAGUAAUGUUCUUUAAAUACAGCACUUUUAGUGGGCUAGAAAACAAAAUCUGCUGAGCGCGCUGCAAAAUUAUACCAUGCAAAAUUUGUCCGUAAACCCCAAAAGAGAUCCUGUUUGCUUGUAGAUAACCUUUGGUACUUAUGGUUAAGUUGGGAUGUACGCCUUUAGGUGCCUCGUCGCCUCUUAAAAUAAAAUUGUAUGAUAUUUUCUUUGCUGGAAUUAUGUAUAAUCAUCUAUAUUUCUGGCAGCUGAAACUAUGUAUUUAUAUCUGCUGGAAUGUAAACAUCUUCACGACCUUAUCUGUGUCAUAUAAUUUUGUUUGUGUUGGCAUGACUUGUUCAUGGUUCUGUAUAUUAUUUUCUGUUAAACGGUUCAAGCAUAUAAAUUUAGAGUUGGCUCAUAUCCUUUUUGGUGCUAGAUAGAGAAUAUAUUGAUGAAAACCAUUGUUGUUCAACUGUCCAAGGAAUACCCCUAAAUAUUUAAGAAUUUGACAUGUUAAGGUCCAGCAGGUAUUCCAAUUCCUUCUUGAAGCGAUUGUAGACCAACUGUGGCGGUGAAAUUAGGGCUCAGAGAAGUUCAUAAUCUAGUUGGUGUGUUGAUUCUGAACCUAGUUAGGAAGUUUGAUGUAGUGCAUAUCAGUCUGCUAUUUCAACCACAUUAUCUUCUUAUAUGAAUAAGAUCAUAGCCUCAUUAGUCAAGAGUUGAUUGCAGAUCUUUAUCCAUUGGUUAUUGGUUUCAUGCUUGAUGGUUCUGUGGCUUUUUGUUUUUGUUCUUUUUGUGGUGUUUGUUAUCUCAUUUACCACUAAUUUUAAUGCUUUCAGAAUUCUAGAAAGAGCUACCAUCAGACUUGCUUUGUUUAUUUACAUAAUAAAUGACUUUGUCUACUUAACAGUGUAUAUGUGUAGGCUGGUUUAGACAACAUGGUAGGUAUAGCGUAGUUUAAAAUAUUGCCGAAUCACUUGUGUUAUACUGUGCAAAUACAGCAUAGGAUACCCUUAUUUUCAUAGGCGUGUUAUGUGUGGGCUCUUAUCCGUGUCUUCAGCAGCAGCAACAAUAAACUUGGUCUUUUUUGGAAACGACAAAAAAUCCAAGUUUAUCAGUGCUUUUGCAAAAUUGCAUAGAAUGUUGAGAUGAUGAAAGACUGCCCUUCAAGAGCAAGCACAAUGGUUGGGAAGUCUUGAAUGGAAAAUUUAUUGGCAUAUCGAUUAAAUAUCGCAAUCCCUGGAAGACCAAAUGCAAUGGUUCUUCUUUUGAAGUCGAAGUUUAAAACCGAGAGGUACCACUGCAGUUGGUUUUUCAGAUAUUUCCUUUCAAACUGAUAUGUUGAAAUGCUUCCGAGGGAAUAACUCCUAAUCAUUGUGCUUGCACUUGAAGGGGUUUUCUUACUUUCUCAGAAAAAUCUGCUUAAGAGGCGAUAUUUUGCAUCAAAACCACGAGAGUCGUAUUGUUCUUGAUAGAUUGCUUGUUGUCAAUCCGAAUUAACAAAAAGAACGAUGCGCUGUCAAAUGUUUUCAAUACCUACUUUAGCUUUCUUGAUAUCCCCACGCCUAGUAGUUUUCAAUACCUACUUGAGCUUUCUUGAAAUCCCCACGCCUAGUACAAAGCUAAUAUAUUGAACACAAUUAAGCCUGUAAAAGUAUAAAAUUCUAAGCAACAAUGUGAUAUGAGCAUAUGACUGACUUGUUUUGGGAGAUAAAUGGUUAUUCCUGAUCUGUGUCCAAAUCUCAGCUGAAUUGUUCUCUUUGGUGUCUGUAAGACUUGUCCAUGUAUAUGAUUUAUAAUAUUAUAAUCAGUUGGGGUGAUCAUAUGAAUUUAGAGUUGUGUUGUCUCUUUUUUGGAGCUAGAUGGAGGAUGUAUUCAUGAAAACCAUUAGUCCGUCAAAGGAGUACCUUAAAUGUUAAAGAAUCAAAAUGUCCAGCAUGUGUUCUAACUUUUUCUUGAAGUUAUUGCAGCUUAAUUAUGUUGGUGAGAGGUUGAAAGGCAAGUUUGUGUGCUGAUUCUGCAAACGAGUUUAGGAAGUUUUGAUGUAACGUAUAGCAGUCUGCUGGAUAGAACCACAUCAUCUUCAUGAAAAUAAAUUUGGUGGAGAAAGUAUAGAGUACGUUUAUCUUUUAAGUUUUAAAGGCAUGGUUGGUGAAGCUUGAUUGGUGUCUCUAUGUGUACGCCUAAUACAUCGCACCAUUAUUGAGUUUGUAAAAUAUUGGAUUGUAGCAGCAUUGUGACAUGAGUAUGUGACUGACUUGUAUGGGAAGAUAAUUGAUUGCUCCUGAUCUUUGUCCAAAUGGCAGCUGAAGUAUAUCAUAUCUGUUGGGUUUAACAUCUUCACAACCUUAUUUGUGUGAUGUAAUUUCGUUUGUCGUCGGCAUGACUUGUUCAUGGUUCUGUCUAAUAUUUCUGUUAGCUGGUUCAAGCAUAUGAAUUUAGAGGUGCUAGAUAGAGGAUAAUUUGAUGAAAGCUAUUGUUCAACAGUCCCAAGGAAUACCUUAAAUAGUUAAGAAUCUGACAUGUUAAAUGUCCAAUUCCUUGUUGAAACUGUUGCAGACUAACUGUGGCGGUGAAAUUUGGGUUGAGGUUGAUAAUCUAGUUGGUGUGCUGAUUCUGAACCUAGGCAGAGUUUGAUGUAUCAGUCUGCUGGUACAACCGCAUCAUCUUCUUGUACGAAUUAAGAUCAUAGCCUCAUUAGUCGAGAGUUGCAGAUCUUUAUAUGUUGGUUUUUAGUUUCGUGCUUGGUGUUUUCCUUGGCUUUUUCUUUUUUGUUCAAAUAUGGUGUUCAUUUAUCUCAUUCACAACCAUUUUUUCUGC
Papaver somniferum (opium poppy) is the source of this 3394-nucleotide long non-coding RNA. RefSeq lists it as uncharacterized. The record is from RefSeq and is a predicted model, not a curated record. NCBI's taxonomy places the organism in Eukaryota, Viridiplantae, Streptophyta, Magnoliopsida, Ranunculales, Papaveraceae. The transcript is spliced from 2 exons.